CCUACGGGCGGCAGCAGUGGGGAAUAUUGCGCAAUGGGCGAAAGCCUGACGCAGCGACGCCGCGUGAGGGAUGAAGGUCUUCGGAUCGUAAACCUCUGUCAGCAGGGAAGAACGGUCACUGUGCUAAUCAGCAGUGAAUUGACGGUACCUGCAAAGGAAGCACCGGCUAACUCCGUGCCAGCAGCCGCGGUAAUAAGGAGGGUGCGAGCGUUAAUCGGAAUUACUGGGCGUAAAGCGCUCGUAGGCGGUAUGUCAAGUCAAGGGGGAAAUCCCCGCGCUCAACGUGGGAACUGCCUUUGAAACUGGUAAACUGGAGUGUGUGAGAGGAUAGUGGAAUUCCAGGUGUAGGAGUGAAAUCCGUAGAUAUCUGGAGGAACAUCAGUGGCGAAGGCGACUAUCUGGCACAUAACUGACGCUGAGGAGCGAAAGCGUGGGUAGCAAACAGGAUUAGAUACCCCAGUAGUC
Molecule: ribosomal RNA, 465 nt
Filed under: uncultured bacterium
Lineage: Bacteria
Description: partial 16S ribosomal RNA
Rfam family: Bacterial small subunit ribosomal RNA
Source: RNAcentral